ACACCCAGAUUUCAACCUGAUGGCAGCCAUCCACCCGAGACGACUUCGUUCCCUGGGCCACGUUCUCCGCAUGGACCCGUCAGGCCUAUACGUGUGCGGAGGAGAAAACCCGGCUGAAGGUUCCCUCCUGAUGGACUGUGAACACUUACCUUUCGACCUCUUGGCCAGACAAGCCAGGAAUAGGAUAUCAGUAUUGGAGCCAUCAAGCCAGGAUCAACCGCCUGCAGCUAUCCAGGGUGGGACUUUUGGUGACGUCCAGAUAGAUCGGUGCUCGUGUGUACGUCAAGCCCUACCAGAGGACCUGAAACUAAGUUAAGUUCUUGUGUGUCACGGCUUCAGGAAGGGUCUGUCCUGCGAGAGCCAGCUGGUGCUAACCCUCCAAGACCUGGACAAGAGCAUGGACCAGAACAAACAGGUCGAUGCCGCGGUGCUUGAUUUUAGCAAAGCAUUCGAUACCGUGCCUCACGAACGUCUACUGAGCAAGCUCGAGCACUAUGGCAUUUCUGGCCUCCUUCAGUCUUGGCUUAGGGACUUCCUUACGGAGAGAGCCCAUAGGGUUGUCUUUGACGGUGGAACGCCAAGGUCACAUCUGGAGUUCCGCAGGGUACUGUGUUAGGCCCUCUACUCUUCCUGCUCUAUAUUAACGACCUACCCGAUUCCGUAGACUCACAUGUUCGACUAUUUGCUGACGAUUGUUUGAUUUAUUGCCUAGCCUUAGCUUAGCAAGCUCUUUGUUGGUGUAAGGUGCUUGAGUGUGUUUUGUUGACAUGCCGAGUGAUGAUGCUGGUAGGGUUUUAUAUUCGGAUACUUUGUAAAUUGAGGCUCAUUUUGAAUUCGGGGCUUUAGCUCUUUCUGUGGUGUACAGGUCGGGUGUAUGGCUGAUUUUGUUUCUGAAGGUUUCUGUGACUGUGUCGAUAGUCUGGAUUGCAUUCGGUCAGUUUGUAAGUUCUGUUUUGUAGUAAACAGGGUCUUCCCUGGUUAACUCACUACCUGUUCUUCUUUCUGUUUUUUUAUGUCGUGGUCACUGGUUGUCGGGACUUCCUUGACCAUUACAUAAGCUGCCUGUGUCGUUAUCUUGGGUCCCGAACCAAGAGAGCGACACCGGCCAGAAAGGAAGACAGGUGAAUGAAAUCAUAGUAGUUGAUUUUUUCUUCUUUAGAAACACUUUCCCGGCGUCGACACAGUCACAGAAACUGAAUCAGCUAUGUACUGGGCUUGGUAUACCAUAGAAACAAAACUUGCUUUCGAAAUUUAAACCGAAACAAACAGCAACAUUUAUUGAGAUUUCAUCAAAGCGCACUCAGCCUCCUGCCACCCAUCAUGAGAUCAUGAUUCUUCCAGCUAUUUCUAUUUUAAAUUUUGUAGUUUAAUUUUGUCUCGUCUUUUCUACCGAGGAUCAUUGCACCGUAGGAAGACAUGCCUGGACGUGGGAAAGGUGCUAAGGACUGGUGAAGGAAGGUGCCGAACAUGCAUGAACAAAAGGGACUUCGCAGUCUUUCCUGCACAUAUGACAAGGAAUGUGUACGAAAUGUGACAGUGGUCCUGGCGGAAGGCGUCUUGGUGCCUCGUUGUGGGUUUCCUUGGAAGUCUUCAUCAGCUUCGUCAGAAGACAUUCCAUGACUUUAUGUUUAGAUGUCUUGAUGGACAUGGGACCUUUCCCAGACAUUUGACAAGCAAUGUCUGGACUUGCUAAGGGAAGGUGGGCAGAGGAGGUGCCAGGCGUCACAGCCACGAAAGCGCAUCACAACACCCGGAGAGACAAUGCUCCUGGCAGAAGGCGUCUUGGUGCCUCCUCUCGUUGUGGGUUUCCUUGGAUGUCUUCAUCAGCUUCUUCAGAAAACUUUCUAUAUGAAAUUAUGUUGUGAUGCCUUAAUGGACAAUGGGACCUUUCCAGACAUUUGACAAGG
This is a long non-coding RNA of Branchiostoma floridae (Florida lancelet), 1907 nucleotides long. RefSeq lists it as uncharacterized. NCBI's taxonomy places the organism in Eukaryota, Metazoa, Chordata, Leptocardii, Amphioxiformes, Branchiostomatidae. The transcript has 4 exons. The record is from RefSeq and is a predicted model, not a curated record.